This 1277-nucleotide unclassified non-coding RNA is filed under the name Imshaugia aleurites. RNAcentral describes it as "external transcribed spacer 1". Lineage: Eukaryota; Fungi; Ascomycota; Lecanoromycetes; Lecanorales; Parmeliaceae. The record is from RNAcentral.
GACCCCCCCUUUGGCCCAAAUCGAAUUUUGAAAACGGCAAAGGCAUUCGAUGAUGCUCAUAUCCGUCCUGGUGCUACAUACAAAAUUUUCCACUUUUUGUCAAAAAGCGGUUUUUUGAAUUUUUUUUUAAACAUGCAUCAAGUGCACACCAAAAAUUGGUCAAAACAUGGCCGGUGGAUAUAUAAAGAAAAAAAGUGGUGGUGAGAAAGUUACUAGGGGCCAUGGCUUAGGCUAUAGGCUCCGAAACUCCUCACCCUCCGGGCCCCCUCACAGGGGUCAAUGGGGCCACUUCCUGAUCCGAAGCCUUAGUACCCCGCCGUGGGAACCGGCUUCAGAUCGCAAACUUCUACCCGAGCAGAAGCUUUAGUAUUCGUGGGGACCCCGCUCGCUGCUUCACUGCACGGCGGGUUACUUUAUGGCGACGGGGUUUCAGGUCACAACUACCCGAGCAGGCGCUCGGCUCCCGUGGGUUUCCCGCUCGCUGCUUCGCUGCACGGCGGUACCCUACGGGGGUCGGGCUCCAGGUCACAACUACCCGAGCAGGCGCUCGGUUCCCGUGGGGCUCCCGCUCGCUGCUUCGCUGCACGGCGGGUUCCUUAUGGGGCCGGGUUCCAGGUCAGUCCUUUCAAAUUGACCCGUGGGCGGGGUCACCAUGUCCCAUACCAGCUAGACCGCCAACCGUGGGCCGAGUUAUUGGACAGCGCGGGCCUUUCAAUAGGCUGCCGUUGGCUCCGGCCCGGGUGGUGUGUCGCCCCACCCGACCGCCGUGUUCCCGGGUCCUCGUCGCUUCAUUGCGCGGGACCUGUGGACGCAUGGCCGGACGAGGGUGGCCUGAAGACCCACAGGCUAUGCUCUGUGGGCUCUGAAGGAGUCUGUGGAUGGUUGGCCGAUGGCUACCGUUAUCCUAAGACAUUCGGGGGUCAGCCACAGUCGGUACCCGUGGGGACCCCGCUCGCUGCUUCACUGCACGGCGGGGGACCCAUGUGAUCGACGACCGGUAUCCUCCAACCGAGGGGUGUAUGGUGCAGUGUGGGCCGGCGUCCAGCGUCGCGAAUCCCCGCGUCUGCCCCGGACCACUCCUUGGGCAACUCAGUGGGGGCAAUUGGAUGGUCCGUGGGAACUCUUCGGCGGCUUCGGCCCCGGGGGGCUACCCGGGCUGGGUGCGGGGCUCCGGCCUCCGCCCCGACCUUGUAGCUAUCCUGAUCACCCCUUCGGGGGUGGGGUGUGACUAGGCGUGAACGCUCCUGGAGGGUGUGCGACCGAACUCUUAAGAUAGA